This 213-nucleotide long non-coding RNA is filed under the name Lathyrus oleraceus (garden pea). RNAcentral's name for it is "Pisum sativum (pea) long non-coding RNA (PSAT_LNC034585)". Lineage: Eukaryota; Viridiplantae; Streptophyta; Magnoliopsida; Fabales; Fabaceae. The record is from RNAcentral.
UGGGUCUAUGACGAUGAGCUUAUUUUCGGUGGAUUCCAAGUGCGGUGGUGGUCGGUUUCUGAGUCAAAACAAAGUUGGUGUCUUGAGCUUUUUCCGGUGAUGGUGGUUAUGAGUGCAUGUGGAUCUGCAGUAGAAAUACUUCCCUCAUCUUCUUUAUUUUUUGUUUGGUUGUUAUGUUGGGUUAUCAUGUUGUUGUGGUAUAUGUUAUUGUUG